UCCCUCUCCCCUUUCCUGCUGUGUCGCACUUCUCUUUCUCUUCCCAUAAGUCGUACCUCUCUCUGCUCCCUGCUCAUUUGUCUUUCACUUUCUCUCACAUGUGCUUGUCUGCUUCAGAUGUGCUGCUGCACCCUUUGCAUUUGAAGAAAGUUUGCUGGUUUUUUGUUUUCUGUCCUGCUGGACUGAGAACAGACGUGCACAGCUUCUUCAUCUGGACAGCCAAGUGUAGACAGGAAAGCAGGGGUGUGAGAGGGGGAGUGGGAACGGGACAUAACCCAAGUCGGACUCAAACCCAGGACACUGAGCCAACACCUCUUAUGCAUGAGCAUGUGCACCACAGCUAUGACAUUAAGUAAUAUUUUUCACUCAAAAAAAACAGUGUGGUCGCAUGUGAUGCAACCGGCUCGUGAGUGUGUUUCUCCACCAGACCACCCUACACUGACCAGAUCUGGACUGUACAAGAGUCACAUAGCUGGAGGCAAGGAAAUCUGACCUUUUGUUCAGUGGAGUUUACAUGGUUAAUGCCACAAGAUUAGUGCCUUACAAAUAGUGCAUGAUCCUAAAUAUUUCUUACUCAUUUUAUGGUAUAAUCUUAGUUUAUUUUAAAUCGAGCAGACCACACAAUUUGUUUAUUUCCAUUUAAAUGUCAGAUUUUCAUGUUUGGACCACAAUAUAAUUUGGCUGAUUCGAUAAUGCGUUCAGCUACAAAUAAGUGUCUUAGCUUUUUGACCAUGUUUAAAUUCAUUCAGCAGAUUGCAAAGAAUGUCCAAAAAAGGUUGGAGAUUCUGUCUGAGCCUGCUUAUGACUCACAGUUUAGUUUUAUGUUAUUAAUAUUGAGGCCUGAUUUCAUUGAGGUCUUUUUUUUCUGAAUGAUAAGUGUGCGCGGUGGGGAAAGAACCUGUCAAUGUUUGUGAAUUUCCCUGCUGCUGCUUACUAGCGGUUUCACACUUCACACAGCAGACAUGUGGUUUAGCAUUUUUUUACUAUGAGUAGUACAGCCUGUUCUUUAAAACACAUGCUCCUCCAAUUGCACACGCAUAUACAUGACCUGAUGAGGAAGUGAUUCUAUUGACGAGGCAAAGAUGGUACAGACUGAUCUAGAAAUGUUCUUACCGUCUUCCUGCCACUCACCUCAUUUAUUAUGUGCGUGUGCAAAAGUGUUUGCACACGCUGCGUUCGCUGUUGUGGCUUUAAGUUUCAGGGUCGUACAGGUUGUCCUCUUAUUUCCGACUCGCUGCGUCUUUAUAUUUUAAAAGUAUAUCUAAAAUAGUGCCUCAAACUCAGACCAUCAGUUGAGCCGGUAUUGCGGUGUUUGUGGUCCUCUUUAUGCUAACCCAAAUUGUUUCGAGGAAAUAACUGAAAAAAAGAUUAUGAUCUUUUGUACCACAAGUUUUUAACCUUUGCUAAUCAGUGAUUGGCUGAUUAUGACCCACUAGUACAGUGUAUGUCUUUUCUGCUGAUGACUUAAAAUAACCUUUUGUGGGGUCAUUAUCAAGAAGCUUUCUUAGAAAAUUCUGGGGAAGGUUUGAUUACGCAGAAAAGCAGCACUUUUAUUGCUAAUGUAAGAAGAAAUAACGAGAAGCCUCCAGUAAAUGAUGCUCUUGAGCUAUUUUUCCACUCAGAAUUGAGAAGUGCACUCGAAUAUCUGUGAUGUCAUUAUCACCUCGUGUCUGUCUACAUGUCAUGUGCAAAAGUCUUUCUUCAGAACUGUGUAAAAUGUCAAGAAAUGUAAAAGGAGCAGCGAUGACCUUCUGCUUGUCGAGAAAAUAACUGAGAUGUUGUUGCUAUUUAUUAAUAGUAAAAAGUAAAGUGAUAUUCCAGAGCAUGUGUGCGUACGAGUGUACGUAUGUUGAAUUCAUUGAAAUAGCAAGUUCCACAUACAAAGGCUGACCACUGAGGUCUUUGUUUCUCAGUAAAUAUGUUUUGCCAUGUUCAACUUUUGAGUUUUUUACACAGUCACUGUAAAUGACAGCAUAUUGCACUGUAAAGAAACAUUGUUCUUGUCAGGCCUUUGGAGCAGAAGUUGGCACAUGUGCCCACUACUGUAGUGCUGGUGGGGAUGCAGGUUUGAGUCUGGUCUACUUCAUAUACCAGUCUGCCUUUCUAUCCCUAAUCAUUAUUUUUUUAAGGUUUAAUUUAUUUUUGUGAUUUUAUUUGAACUGUCCUGUCUAACAAAGGCAAAAACAGCAUAAUAGACAAAAUAAAACAGGGUGAAGUAUGUAACUUUUCAAACAUGUUUCAAACACUCCAUGUGUCCGCCACUGGUCAGACAAACUGGUAGUUUGGCCCCAAACCACACCAUUGGUUGAAAUAGUGUUAUGUCCAGUCCAUUCCAUCCAUUCAAACAGAUUGCAAGUGGUGUAGAAAUUCACUUUUUUUUAAAUAAAAUGUGUUUUUAUACAUACAUUUUGUUAUAUUUAUCAAAUACUUUUUCAAAUCU
This is a long non-coding RNA of Labeo rohita (rohu), 2440 nucleotides long. RefSeq lists it as uncharacterized. Lineage: Eukaryota; Metazoa; Chordata; Actinopteri; Cypriniformes; Cyprinidae. The transcript is spliced from 3 exons. The record is from RefSeq and is a predicted model, not a curated record.